UUAAGACAACCACCAAUGUAUAUAUUGUUUAAUUUCCCUCUCCAGAGUUUUUCACUCAUAUGAAGACGUCACCAUUGCCAGUGAAGGGCUGCAAAAUUUAGGCCUAUGCUCCGCGCUUACGGCCUUUGAGCAGGGAGGGAUCAUUAUUGUGCCACACCUGCAGUGACACGGGGCCUCGGUUUUGCCGUUUCUUCCGAAGGACCAACCCAUUUAGUUGCCUCUUACAACAAGCAAGAGGCAAUGGUGGCGUCUCCGUAUGAGUGAAAAAUAAAUCCUUGUGUGAGGCAUUAAACAAUAUACAACCAGCCAACCAAAAUAUCAGGGGCGUUCAAUGGAGCAAAGGGCAAUAACUCUGACCUUCCAAUGUUGAUUGCAGAUGUUGCUAUUUCAAAUGUGUGGGAAGUUCCCAGGUAUCCUCCGCUAGCGACAGUCUGCUGGCAAAUCCAGACAUACAUUGGAAGGAUGACGAUGUGGAGGACACAAGGACACCUGAUCCAAGAACUGUGGCAUUUCAUUCGGAGCGACAACCU
This is a long non-coding RNA of Ostrea edulis (European flat oyster), 530 nucleotides long. RefSeq lists it as uncharacterized. The record is from RefSeq and is a predicted model, not a curated record. The transcript has 3 exons. NCBI's taxonomy places the organism in Eukaryota, Metazoa, Mollusca, Bivalvia, Ostreida, Ostreidae.